This 406-nucleotide ribosomal RNA is filed under the name uncultured bacterium. RNAcentral's name for it is "partial 16S ribosomal RNA". It matches the Rfam family "Bacterial small subunit ribosomal RNA", at positions 28 to 526 of the family's 1533-position model. The record is from RNAcentral.
GUUGAACGCUGGCGGCAUGCCUAACACAUGCAAGUCGAGCGAGCGGCGGACGGGUGGGUAAUUUAUGGGGAUCUGCCUGAUAGAGGGGUAUGACUGCUGGAAACCGUGGCUAAUACCGCUUACUAUCGGAUCGGCCCAUAGGGGAUUAGCUAGUAGGUGGGGUAAAGGCUCACCUAGGCGACGCUGGCUAGCUGGUCUGAGAGGAUGAUCGGCCACACUGGGACUGAGACACGGCCCAGACUCCUACGGGAGGCAGCAGUGGGGAAUAUUGGACAAUGGGCGCAAGUCUGAUGCAGCCACGCCGCGUGUAUGAAGAAGGCCUUCGGGUUGUAAAGCACUUUUAGUGGGGAGGCGUUACCCGAAGAAGAAGCAACGGCUAACUCCGUGCCAGCAGCCGCGGUAAUUC